CACCAGACUCCUACGGGAGGCAGCAGUGGGGAAUAUUGCACAAUGGGGGAAACCCUGAUGCAGCGACGCCGCGUGAGUGAAGAAGUAUUUCGGUAUGUAAAGCUCUAUCAGCAGGGAAGAUAAUGACGGUACCUGAGUAAGAAGCCCCGGCUAACUACGUGCCAGCAGCCGCGGUAAUACGUAGGGGGCAAGCGUUAUCCGGAUUUACUGGGUGUAAAGGGAGCGUAGACGGCAUGGCAAGUCUGAAGUGAAAGCCCGGGGCUCAACCGCGGGACUGCUUUGGAAACUGUUAAGCUGGAGUGCAGGAGAGGUAAGUGGAAUUCCUAGUGUAGCGGUGAAAUGCGUAGAUAUUAGGAGGAACACCGGUGGCGAAGGCGGCUUACUGGACCAUAACUGACGUUGAGGCUCGAAAGCGUGGGGAGCGAACAGGAUUAGAUACCCUGGUA
This 446-nucleotide ribosomal RNA is filed under the name uncultured bacterium. Its description in RNAcentral is "bacterial SSU rRNA". It matches the Rfam family "Bacterial small subunit ribosomal RNA", at positions 329 to 792 of the family's 1533-position model. The record is from RNAcentral.